RNAcentral lists this ribosomal RNA (497 nucleotides) under uncultured bacterium. Its description in RNAcentral is "partial 16S ribosomal RNA". It matches the Rfam family "Bacterial small subunit ribosomal RNA", at positions 28 to 507 of the family's 1533-position model. The record is from RNAcentral.
GAUGAACGCUGGCGGCGUGCCUAAUACAUGCAAGUCGAGCGAACGGACGAGAAGCUUGCUUCUCUGAUGUUAGCGGCGGACGGGUGAGUAACACGUGGAUAACCUACCUAUAAGACUGGGAUAACUUCGGGAAACCGGAGCUAAUACCGGAUAAUAUUUUGAACUGCAUGGUUCAAAAGUGAAAGACGGUCUUGCUGUCACUUAUAGAUGGAUCCGCGCUGCAUUAGCUAGUUGGUAAGGUAACGGCUUACCAAGGCAACGAUGCAUAGCCGACCUGAGAGGGUGGUCGGCCACACUGGAACUGAGACACGGUUCAGACUCCUACGGGAGGCAGCAGUAGGGAAUCUUCCGCAAUGGGCGAAAGCCUGACGGAGCAACGCCGCGUGAGUGAUGAAGGUCUUCGGAUCGUAAAACUCUGUUAUUAGGGAAGAACAUAUGUGUAAGUAACUGUGCACAUCUUGACGGUACCUAAUCAGAAAGCCACGGCUAACUACGUG